AACGAACGCUGGCGGCAUGCCUAACACAUGCAAGUCGAACGAGACCUUCGGGUCUAGUGGCGCACGGGUGCGUAACGCGUGGGAACCUGCCCUUAGGUUCGGAAUAACUCCCCGAAAGGGGUGCUAAUACCGGAUAAUGUCUUCGGACCAAAGAUUUAUCGCCUUUGGAUGGGCCCGCGUUGGAUUAGCUAGUUGGUAGGGUAAAAGCCUACCAAGGCGACGAUCCAUAGCUGGUCUGAGAGGAUGAUCAGCCACACUGGGACUGAGACACGGCCCAGACUCGUAGGGGAGGGGGCAGGGGGGGAUGGUGGAGAGGGGGCGAAAGCCUGAUCCAGCAAUGCCGCGUGAGUGAUGAAGGCCUUAGGGUUGUAAAGCUCUUUUACCCGGGAUGAUAAUGACAGUACCGGGAGAAUAAGCUCCGGCUAACUCCGUG
This 433-nucleotide ribosomal RNA is filed under the name uncultured bacterium. RNAcentral's name for it is "partial 16S ribosomal RNA". It matches the Rfam family "Bacterial small subunit ribosomal RNA", at positions 29 to 507 of the family's 1533-position model. The record is from RNAcentral.